AUUGAACGCUGGCGGCAGGCUUAACACAUGCAAGUCGAACGGAGUGGCGGACGGGUGAGUAAUGCUUGGGCAUCUAGCUUGUGGAGGAGGAUAACUACGGGAAACUGUAGCUAAUACCGCGUACCAUAGGAUGAGCCCGAGUGGGAUUAGGUAGGUGUUGGGGUAAAGGCCUACCAAGACGACGAUCUGUAACUGGUCUGAGAGGAGGAUCAGUCACACUGGAACUGAGACACGGUCCAGACUCCUACGUGAGGCAGCAGUGGGGAAUAUUGGACAAUGGGCGAAAGCCUGAUCCAGCCAUGCCGCGUGUGUGAAGAAGGUCUUCGGAUUGUAAAGCACUUUAAGUUGGGAGGCGUUACCAACAGAAUAAGCACCGGCUAACUUCGUGCCAGCCGCCGCGGUAAUUC
This 407-nucleotide ribosomal RNA is filed under the name uncultured bacterium. Its description in RNAcentral is "partial 16S ribosomal RNA". It matches the Rfam family "Bacterial small subunit ribosomal RNA", at positions 30 to 526 of the family's 1533-position model. The record is from RNAcentral.